GCUCACCAGCCCGACGGCCAGACUGAUAAACUCCAGAAUACCUGCCACACAACAGCACUCGUCAGACAAUGACCAGACACCUUUACAACUGCAGCGCAGCUGCACAUCAACAAUGCCGCAUAGUCAAGUGGUCCUCAAACUUCAGUCAAGGGCGAGAGGCACGUAGAGCCGGAGCUGAGAGAAGACAUGGACAGAUGCAUGCGAAUUUAGCUGAUGCUAUUGAGGUUGGGGAAAUAUUCUUGUAGUCACCAAGAGAGUGUGUUGACAGUGCCUUGGGCAAAGCAAGUGAAGGAUUCGACUCAAGAACAUCGGGGCUCUGGGUUCAAAUACCUGAUAUGACGAGACGCUUCAGUGCGGUUUAAGAAACGAUCUCCACUGGAUCAAGCCUCGCAUUGAAUUGUGUUCAUCUUCUGAGGUAAAUUCUGGGUUAUUCCUCUCACUGCGUCUUCUUCUAGAAACGAAAGUUGGCCGAGAUGAACUUCCAUCUUCAGGUUCAUCGAAUGACCAAAAUUCUCCUAUCUGACUUAACGUCCCAUCUGUGAAGGCCAUCACAUGAACCCAU
Labeo rohita (rohu) is the source of this 562-nucleotide long non-coding RNA. RefSeq lists it as uncharacterized. The record is from RefSeq and is a predicted model, not a curated record. Lineage: Eukaryota; Metazoa; Chordata; Actinopteri; Cypriniformes; Cyprinidae. The transcript has 5 exons.